AUUGAACGCUGGCGGCAUGCCUUACACAUGCAAGUCGAACGGCAGCACGGGAGCAAUCCUGGUGGCGAGUGGCGAACGGGUGAGUAAUAUAUCGGAACGUGCCCAGUAAUGGGGGGAUAGCCCGGCGAAAGCCGGAUUAAUACCGCAUACGACCUACGGGUGAAAGCGGGGGAUCGCAAGACCUCGCGUUAUUGGAGCGGCCGAUAUCAGAUUAGCUUGUUGGCGGGGUAAAAGCCCACCAAGGCGACGAUCUGUAGCUGGUCUGAGAGGACGACCAGCCACACUGGGACUGAGACACGGCCCAGACUCCUACGGGAGGCAGCAGUGGGGAAUUUUGGACAAUGGGCGCAAGCCUGAUCCAGCCAUGCCGCGUGUGGGAAGAAGG
RNAcentral lists this ribosomal RNA (385 nucleotides) under uncultured bacterium. RNAcentral describes it as "bacterial SSU rRNA". It matches the Rfam family "Bacterial small subunit ribosomal RNA", at positions 29 to 414 of the family's 1533-position model. The record is from RNAcentral.